Molecule: ribosomal RNA, 773 nt
Filed under: uncultured bacterium
Lineage: Bacteria
Description: bacterial SSU rRNA
Rfam family: Bacterial small subunit ribosomal RNA
Source: RNAcentral
AGAGUUUGAUCCUGGCUCAGGACGAACGCUGGCGGCGUGCUUAACACAUGCAAGUCGAACGGUGAACCUCUUUCGGGAGGGGAUCAGUGGCGAACGGGUGAGUAACACGUGAGUAAUCUGCCUCUGACUCUGGGAUAACCACGGGAAACGGUGGCUAAUACCGGAUAUGACGCAUGGCUGCAUGGUCUGUGCGUGGAAAGUUUUUCGGUCAGGGAUGAGCUCGCGGCCUAUCAGCUUGUUGGUGGGGUAAUGGCCUACCAAGGCGACGACGGGUAGCCGGCCUGAGAGGGCGACCGGCCACACUGGGACUGAGACACGGCCCAGACUCCUACGGGAGGCAGCAGUGGGGAAUAUUGCGCAAUGGGCGAAAGCCUGACGCAGCGACGCCGCGUGAGGGAUGAAGGCCUUCGGGUCGUAAACCUCUUUCAGCAGGGAAGAAGCGCAAGUGACGGUACCUGCAGAAGAAGCACCGGCUAACUACGUGCCAGCAGCCGCGGUAAUACGUAGGGUGCAAGCGUUGUCCGGAAUUAUUGGGCGUAAAGAGCUCGUAGGCGGUCUGUCGCGUCUGCUGUGAAAACCUAGGGCUUAACUCUGGGCGUGCAGUGGGUACGGGCAGGCUAGAGUGCGGUAGGGGAGACUGGAAUUCCUGGUGUAGCGGUGAAAUGCGCAGAUAUCAGGAGGAACACCGGUGGCGAAGGCGGGUCUCUGGGCCGUAACUGACGCUGAGGAGCGAAAGCAUGGGGAGCGAACAGGAUUAGAUACCCUAGUAGUCC